AACGAACGCUGGCGGCAGGCUUAACACAUGCAAGUCGAGCGCCCCGCAAGGGGAGCGGCAGACGGGUGAGUAUCGCGUGGGAAUCUACCUUUUGCUACGGAAAACCUAAGGGAAACUUGUGCUCAUACCGUAUGUGCCCUUCGGGGGAAAGAUUUAUCGGCAAAGGAUGGGCCCGCGUUGGAUUAGGUAGUUGGGGGGGUAAUGGCCUACCAAGCCGACGAUCCAUGGCUGGUCUGAGAGGAUGAACAGCACCAUUGGGACUGGGACACGGCCCAAACUCCUACGGGAGGCAACAGUGGGGAAUAUUGGGCAAUGGGCGCAAGCCUGAUCCAGCCAUUCCGCGUGAGUGAUGAAGGCCCUAGGGUUGUAAAGCUCUUUCACCGGUGAAGAUAACGACGGUAACCGGAGAAGAAGCCCCGGCUAACUUCGUGCCAGCCGCCGCCGUAA
RNAcentral lists this ribosomal RNA (447 nucleotides) under uncultured bacterium. RNAcentral describes it as "partial 16S ribosomal RNA". It matches the Rfam family "Bacterial small subunit ribosomal RNA", at positions 29 to 523 of the family's 1533-position model. The record is from RNAcentral.